Molecule: ribosomal RNA, 302 nt
Filed under: uncultured bacterium
Lineage: Bacteria
Description: partial 16S ribosomal RNA
Rfam family: Bacterial small subunit ribosomal RNA
Source: RNAcentral
GCAGUAGCCGCGGUAAUACGUAGGGUGCGAGCGUUAAUCGGAAUUACUGGGCGUAAAGCGUGCGCAGGCGGUUUUGUAAGACAGGCGUGAAAUCCCCGGGCUCAACCUGGGAAUGGCGCUUGUGACUGCAAAGCUAGAGUGCGGCAGAGGGGGAUGGAAUUCCGCGUGUAGCAGUGAAAUGCGUAGGUAUGCGGAGGAACACCGAUGGCGAAGGCAAUCCCCUGGGCCUGCACUGACGCUCAUGCACGAAAGCGUGGGGAGCAAACAGGAUUAGAUACCCCCGUAGUCCCUGUCUCUUAUAC